Molecule: ribosomal RNA, 665 nt
Filed under: uncultured fungus
Lineage: Eukaryota; Fungi
Description: eukaryotic LSU rRNA
Rfam family: Eukaryotic large subunit ribosomal RNA
Source: RNAcentral
CCCGCUGAACUUAAGCAUAUCAAUAAGCGGAGGAAAAGAAACUAACAAGGAUUCCCCUAGUAACUGCGAGUGAAGCGGGAAAAGCUCAAAUUUAAAAUCUGGCAGUCUCUGGCUGUCCGAGUUGUAAUCUAGAGAAGCAUUAUCCGCGCUGGACCGUGUACAAGUCUCCUGGAAUGGAGCGUCAUAGAGGGUGAGAAUCCCGUCUUUGACACGGACUGCCAGGGCUUUGUGAUGUGCUCUCAAAGAGUCGAGUUGUUUGGGAAUGCAGCUCAAAAUGGGUGGUAAAUUCCAUCUAAAGCUAAAUAUUGGCGAGAGACCGAUAGCGAACAAGUACCGUGAGGGAAAGAUGAAAAGCACUUUGGAAAGAGAGUUAAACAGUACGUGAAAUUGUUGAAAGGGAAACGCUUGGAGUCAGUCGCGUCGGCCGGGAUUCAGUCGUCCCUUCUUCGGACGGAUUACUUCCCGGUGGACGGGUCAACAUCGAUUUCAGACGGCGGAUAAGGGAGCAAGGAAGGUGGCACCUUCACGGGUGUGUUAUAGCCUUGUUUCGCAUACGCCGACCGGGAUCGAGGUCUGCAGCGCGCCACUCAGGCCGGGGGUUCGCCCCACGUUACGCGCUUAGGAUGUUGGCAUAAUGGCUUUAAGCGACCCGUCUUGAAACACGG